This 497-nucleotide ribosomal RNA is filed under the name uncultured bacterium. RNAcentral describes it as "partial 16S ribosomal RNA". It matches the Rfam family "Bacterial small subunit ribosomal RNA", at positions 28 to 507 of the family's 1533-position model. The record is from RNAcentral.
GAUGAACGCUGGCGGCGUGCCUAAUACAUGCAAGUCGAGCGAACAGACGAGGAGCUUGCUCCUCUGACGUUAGCGGCGGACGGGUGAGUAACACGUGGAUAACCUACCUAUAAGACUGGGAUAACUUCGGGAAACCGGAGCUAAUACCGGAUAAUAUAUUGAACCGCAUGGUUCAAUAGUGAAAGACGGUUUUGCUGUCACUUAUAGAUGGAUCCGCGCCGCAUUAGCUAGUUGGUAAGGUAACGGCUUACCAAGGCAACGAUGCGUAGCCGACCUGAGAGGGUGAUCGGCCACGCUGGAACUGAGACACGGUCCAGACUCCUACGGGAGGCAGAAGUAGGGAAUCUUCCGCAAUGGGCGAAAGCCUGACGGAGCAACGCCGCGUGAGUGAUGAAGGUCUUCGGAUCGUAAAACUCUGUUAGUAGGGAAGAACAAAUGUGUAAGUAACUAUGCACGUCUUGACGGUACCUAAUCAGAAAGCCACGGCUAACUACGUG